Eutrema salsugineum is the source of this 727-nucleotide long non-coding RNA. RefSeq lists it as uncharacterized. Lineage: Eukaryota; Viridiplantae; Streptophyta; Magnoliopsida; Brassicales; Brassicaceae. The record is from RefSeq and is a predicted model, not a curated record. The transcript has 4 exons.
GUUGAUCAUAAGUAUCGCCGAGCCCAUUCACUUGUUUUCAGAAGCGUGGAUGCUUAUUACUUUUGUUUCCAUGAGAUGUGAUCUGGUGAAGAUGCUUUUGAGACUGCAAAGAGUUGACGUUUCUUCUUCUCCUUAAUCUCAUUAGCUUUUGGUUUUAGUUCUUAUUCCUUCUCUCUGUUCUUGAGAGUUUAUUAAUUUUCUGAAUUUUUUGUUUUGCAGAAAAGAAGAAUGGUUGUAAUAUUUUGACCACGUUUAAGCAAAACGAGAGACUUGAAUCAGUUUCAGUUACAUCUCAUCAUUACAGUUCAUCAAAAGCAGGUUUUGGUUACAAUAAACUUUUCUCUAGAAAAAUUGGAACGUGUUUUGGAUACAAGAUCAAAUCUGGUGGAGUUUUAUAUUGGACAAAAACAGAAGAGGGCAACAACUGCUGCAAAAACCGGUUGCAAGAUGAUCAAAUCUUUUUGAGUUACUGUGUGUGUUUGUUGCUUGGAACUGCAACUUAUGGCAUUGAUUCUCUCCCAGGCUAGGCAAGCUCUUCUCACUCAAAGAAUUGCUUCAGCACUUCAAGCAGCCAUGAUGUUAAGACCACGUUUUGUAAGACAUUUGGUAUGAUGUUUAAGACUUGAUGUUUUGUAAGACUUGUUUUUAAUAUGAUGUUUGUCCUUGUGAUGUUUUGUGUAAGACAUGUUUGGAUGUUUAAUAAAAAUAAGAGUGUUUUAAAUGCAAA